RNAcentral lists this ribosomal RNA (429 nucleotides) under Gemmatimonadota bacterium. RNAcentral's name for it is "Gemmatimonadetes bacterium partial 16S ribosomal RNA". It matches the Rfam family "Bacterial small subunit ribosomal RNA", at positions 355 to 776 of the family's 1533-position model. The record is from RNAcentral. Lineage: Bacteria; Pseudomonadati; Gemmatimonadota.
UAGGGAAUCUUCGGCAAUGGACGAAAGUCUGACCGAGCAACGCCGCGUGAGUGAAGAAGGUUUUCGGAUCGUAAAACUCUGUUGUUAGAGAAGAACAAGGACGUUAGUAACUGAACGUCCCCUGACGGUAUCUAACCAGAAAGCCACGGCUAACUACGUGCCAGCAGCCGCGGUAAUACGUAGGUGGCAAGCGUUGUCCGGAUUUAUUGGGCGUAAAGCGAGCGCAGGCGGUUUCUUAAGUCUGAUGUGAAAGCCCCCGGCUCAACCGGGGAGGGUCAUUGGAAACUGGGAGACUUGAGUGCAGAAGAGGAGAGUGGAAUUCCAUGUGUGGCGGUGAAAUGCGUAGAUAUAUGGAGGAACACCAGUGGCGAAGGCGGCUCUCUGGUCUGUAACUGACGCUGAGGCUAGAAAGGGUGGGGAGCAAACAGG